AUUGAACGCUGGCGGCAUGCCUUACACAUGCAAGUCGAGCGCGAAAGGGGGCAACCCCGAGUAGAGCGGCGGACGGGUGAGUAACGCAUCGGAACGUGCCCAGUAGUGGGGGACAACCUCGAGAAAUCGAGGCUAAUACCGCAUACGACCCACGGGUGAAAGCGGGGGACCGCAAGGCCUCGCGCUAUUGGAGCGGCCGAUGUCCGAUUAGCUAGUUGGCGGGGUAAGAGCCCACCAAGGCGACGAUCGGUAGCUGGUCUGAGAGGACGACCAGCCACACUGGGACUGAGACACGGCCCAGACUCCUACGGGAGGCAGCAGUGGGGAAUUUUGGACAAUGGGGGCAACCCUGAUCCAGCCAUGCCGCGUGCGGGAAGAAGG
This 381-nucleotide ribosomal RNA is filed under the name uncultured bacterium. Its description in RNAcentral is "bacterial SSU rRNA". It matches the Rfam family "Bacterial small subunit ribosomal RNA", at positions 29 to 414 of the family's 1533-position model. The record is from RNAcentral.